This 431-nucleotide ribosomal RNA is filed under the name uncultured eukaryote. Its description in RNAcentral is "bacterial SSU rRNA". It matches the Rfam family "Eukaryotic small subunit ribosomal RNA", at positions 592 to 1018 of the family's 1831-position model. The record is from RNAcentral.
CAAUAGCGUAUAUUAAAGUUGUUGCGGUUAAAAAGCUCGUAGUUGGAUUUCUGCUUGGGACGACCGGUCCGCCCUCUGGGUGUGCAUCUGGUUCGGCCCGGGCAUCCUCUUGGGGGACGUUGCUGCACUUGAUUGUGUGGUGCGGUACCCAGGACUUUUACUUUGAGGAAAUUAGAGUGUUUCAAGCAGGCAAUUGCCUUGAAUACAUUAGCAUGGAAUAAUAAUAUAGGAUUUUGGUUUCUAUUUUGUUUGGUUUCUUAGAGCUGAAAUAAUGAUUAAUAGGGACAAUUGGGGGUCGAUUCGUAUUAACGACGUCAGAGGUGAAAUUACUUGGAUUGCGUUACGACGAACUAACUGCGAAAGCAUUUGCCAAGGAUGUUUUCUAUUGAUCAAGAACGAAAGUAAGGGGAUCGAAGAUGAUUAGAUACCAU